AAUAGAUACCCAGGUAGUCCACGCCGUAAACGAUGGAUACUAGCUGUUGGAGGUAUCGACCCCUUCAGUAGCGAAGCUAACGCGUUAAGUAUCCCGCCUGUGGAGUACGGUCGCAAGACUAAAACAUAAAGGAAUUGACGGGGACCCGCACAAGCGGUGGAUCGUGUUCUUUAAUUCGAUGCUAAACGAAGAACCUUACCAGGGCUUGACAUCCCUUGAAUUAAUCCGAAAGGAUUGAGUGCUUUAUUGAACAAGGUGACAGGUGUUGCAUGGCCGUCGUCAGCUCGUGUCGUGAGAUGUUUGGUUAAGUCCAUCAACGAGCGCAACCCUUGCAAGUAGUUGUAUUUUUCUACUUGGACUGCCCCGGCAACGGGGAGGAAGGAGGGGAUGAUGUCAGGUCAGUAUUACCCUUACGUCCUGGGCUAGAAACACGAUACAAUGGCAAGUACAAUGCGCAGCGAAGCCGCGAGGUGAAGCAAAUCGCAUCAAAGCUUGUCCCAGUUCGGAUUGGAGGCUGAACUCGCUCAUGAAGUCG
Molecule: ribosomal RNA, 535 nt
Filed under: uncultured bacterium
Lineage: Bacteria
Description: bacterial SSU rRNA
Rfam family: Bacterial small subunit ribosomal RNA
Source: RNAcentral